GACGUGGCCUGGGUAUCGAGUCAUAACGUCCACGGUGGAGGCGAGUAAGUUCACGGUGGCUCAGUUCAUUUACGGCUCCUCAUGGUUGCCGUCCACCGGAGUUGCAUUCCUCGGAGGGCUAAAUGUGUAAUUGCGCUAAUUGUAUUAUAUAUAAGGUGGUAAUAAAGAAAGGAGGAGAAAAGAAAAAAAAGUUACUAAAUCCACGAAAAGGGUAAAAAGUGUCGGCAUAAAACACCA
This 237-nucleotide unclassified non-coding RNA is filed under the name Hevea brasiliensis (rubber tree). Lineage: Eukaryota; Viridiplantae; Streptophyta; Magnoliopsida; Malpighiales; Euphorbiaceae. The record is from RNAcentral.